RNAcentral lists this long non-coding RNA (519 nucleotides) under Phoenix dactylifera (date palm). RNAcentral's name for it is "long non-coding RNA (PDAC_LNC020081)". The record is from RNAcentral. Lineage: Eukaryota; Viridiplantae; Streptophyta; Magnoliopsida; Arecales; Arecaceae.
AAAAAGAUUUUUUUUUUUUUUGAGUGGUUUUUCAACUCCAAUUAGUUAGGCUCACGGUUAGACCACUUUGCAUCAUCAGCCACCUCCACCUCGACGGGCAUUUGCUAGUGCUGCACAUAUUAGGUCUGGUUCGAUUUCCCUAGUUAUGUUGUAUCCCUAGAAUAGCACCUAGGUGAAGCGAACAUUGUGGAUUAUUCUGUCACACCCCAAACCCGUCUUCCGGGUCGACUGCAUGACGCAGCCACAUAAUCCCUAAAGCGAAGCGAGGCCUAAAAUGAACAAUAUCAAUAAAAUAUCAAUAAUAAUCAAAUCGAUCCAAUGAUACUACUAAUAUUAAAUAAUCAACUAGAUCAAUUAUAGAUUUUCAAAUAUCCAUCGAUAUCAGCAAAAAAAAAGAUAUCUAGCUAACUAACUACUAACAACGCGAACUCUGAGUCCCUUCCAAUCGAAAUCAUGCCUUCCGUGACUACGGAAAAAAAAAAAAGCAAGAAAGGCUAUGAGUUUUUCCAGCUCAGUAAC